RNAcentral lists this ribosomal RNA (425 nucleotides) under uncultured bacterium. RNAcentral describes it as "bacterial SSU rRNA". It matches the Rfam family "Bacterial small subunit ribosomal RNA", at positions 355 to 772 of the family's 1533-position model. The record is from RNAcentral.
UGGGGAAUAUUGGACAAUGGGCGAAAGCCUGACGCAGCGACGCCGCGUGGGUGAUGAAGGCCUUCGGGUUGUAAAGCUCUGUUGAGCGGGACAAAAGCCAGCGGCUGAAUAAGCCGUUGGGGUGACGGUACCGCUUUAGCAAGCACCGGCUAACUCUGUGCCAGCAGCCGCGGUAAUACAGAGGGUGCAAACGUUGCUCGGAAUUACUGGGCGUAAAGCGCGUGUAGGUGGUUUCGCAAGUCAGGUGUGAAAGCCCGAGGCUCAACCUCGGAAGUGCACUUGAUACUACGGAGCUGGAGUCUUGGAGAGGAGAGCGGAAUUCCCGGUGUAGAGGUGAAAUUCGUAGAUAUCGGGAGGAACACCAGUGGCGAAGGCGGCUCUCUGGACAAGUACUGACACUGAGACGCGAAAGCAUGGGGAGCAAA